RNAcentral lists this ribosomal RNA (497 nucleotides) under uncultured bacterium. Its description in RNAcentral is "partial 16S ribosomal RNA". It matches the Rfam family "Bacterial small subunit ribosomal RNA", at positions 28 to 507 of the family's 1533-position model. The record is from RNAcentral.
GACGAACGCUGGCGGCGUGCCUAAUACAUGCAAGUUGAGCGCUGAAGGUUGGUACUUGUACCAACUGGAUGAGCAGCGAACGGGUGAGUAACGCGUGGGGAAUCUGCCUUUGAGCGGGGGACAACAUUUGGAAACGAAUGCUAAUACCGCAUAAAAACUUUAAACACAAGUUUUAAGUUUGAAAGAUGCAAUUGCAUCACUCAAAGAUGAUCCCGCGUUGUAUUAGCUAGUUGGUGAGGUAAAGGCUCACCAAGGCGAUGAUACAUAGCCGACCUGAGAGGGUGAUCGGCCACAUUGGGACUGAGACACGGCCCAAACUCCUACGGGAGGCAGCAGUAGGGAGUCUUCGGCAAUGGACGAAAGUCUGACCGAGCAACGCCGCGUGAGUGAAGAAGGUUUUCGGAUCGUAAAACUCUGUUGGUAGAGAAGAACGUUGGUGAGAGUGGAAAGCUCAUCAAGUGACGGUAACUACCCAGAAAGGGACGGCUAACUACGUG